This 76-nucleotide transfer RNA is filed under the name Companilactobacillus ginsenosidimutans. RNAcentral's name for it is "Lactobacillus ginsenosidimutans tRNA-Val". It matches the Rfam family "tRNA". From Rfam's summary of the family: Transfer RNA (tRNA) molecules are approximately 80 nucleotides in length. Their secondary structure includes four short double-helical elements and three loops (D, anti-codon, and T loops). The record is from RNAcentral. Lineage: Bacteria; Bacillati; Bacillota; Bacilli; Lactobacillales; Lactobacillaceae.
GGAGGAUUAGCUCAGCUGGGAGAGCAUCUGCCUUACAAGCAGGAGGUCACAGGUUCGAUCCCUGUAUCCUCCACUA